GGGGCGUGGAAAGAGCCUGAUGAGCAUCUGCUUCCAACCCCUUCCACUAGAACAGGUGGCUCCAGGCCCCAUCCCACCUGGCCUUGAACACUUCCAGGGAUGGGGUAUCCGCAGCUUCUCUGGGCAACCUGUGACAGUGCUUCGCCACCCUGAGGAUAAAGAACAUCCUAAUAGCUAAUCUAAACCUUCGCUCUUUCAAUCUGAACCGGUUCCUACGUGUUCUCUAUCGCUCCAUGCUCUGCCAUAUAGUCUUUCCUCACAGCAGAGCCGCUCCACCCCUCCGGACUCACUCCAGCAGCUCCAUGUCCUUCCUGUGCCGGUUCCCCAGAGCUGGAGGCAGCUCUGCCGCUGAGGGCUCACCUGAGUGGGGCGGAAUCCCCCCUUCCCCCCAGGACACGCCUGCAUUUCUGGGCUGCAUGCACUGAUGGCCAGCUCACGUCCAGCCUCUCAUCCAGUGCUCUGUUCUGGAAGAUGCACAGUCUGAGGCAAGUGCCAGGUUUUUUUGUAAAGUGUUACCGGGCCUCAAAUGCAGCUUGUUACUGAAUUUCCUACUCUAUGACUAUAACCGUUAAGUGGUAAUAAAAAUACAGAUGUUGUGUUACAGCUUUACCAGAUAAUGCAGAACAACAGUUCUAUCACUCAGUACUUUGCAAUACCAAUAUGCAGUUCCUUUUCAAAUAGAGCAAAUGAAGUCCACCAGCAUAAAAGUGGAGAUUUUUUUAGUCUAAGGAACUGUGACAACCAUUGCAUAUUAGGAGUUUUAGACCCUUUAUUUUACCAUAACUAAUGUGAAAACACAAUUUUGCCUCUG
Non-coding RNA from Cyanistes caeruleus (blue tit), 811 nucleotides. The record is from RefSeq and is a predicted model, not a curated record. Lineage: Eukaryota; Metazoa; Chordata; Aves; Passeriformes; Paridae.